Callithrix jacchus (white-tufted-ear marmoset) is the source of this 1517-nucleotide non-coding RNA. The record is from RefSeq and is a predicted model, not a curated record. Lineage: Eukaryota; Metazoa; Chordata; Mammalia; Primates; Cebidae.
AUGGCAGAAUGCUGCUGCACUCUUCCCUCCAGUUGUCGCCCUGCCCAGAAAGGCCAGCAGCUUGGAUUUCUUGCCCAGAGACUGACUUGACCCCAUUCAUACCUCUGCAACACCUGCUGCUCCAGCAGGAGCAUGUGAUUCUUUAGAAUAUGGUGGGAAGGUGACCCCAGGCCCUACUGGGAUACAUGUUCUAGUGGCACCAGCUAGUCUUCUCCCAGAAGAAACUGUAUGUUUCCCCAAGUUUCCGAUGCCAUCAGAAGGGCUCAGGAGGGGGGUCUGUCACACAUUUCUCUUAACAAGUAACUGUCACUGGGACCAAGGCCUGGGUGCUUAUGUGUUCCUUUGUGUCUUCAUCUCACUGACCUGUGUGGAUCUCAUCACUCUGGCUCUGCCUUCUUGGAAAGGCCCUGUCACUCCACAGAUGUCUGGCCAGCUUCAAGGAGAAGGAGAAACAGGAAAAGCCCUUUUAACAGCAGCAGGAACAAGAGAAAUGACUAACCAUACUAAGAGACCGGUAACAGCAGCAGCAGGCAGACAGGCCUCACGGUAAGGACUUGGGCUGCCAGAGCAAAUUCACAGAGUGAGCAGUGCUUACCCGGCCCUCCCAUUCACCCCGCUCAGUUCUGUGCCCACAUCGCCUUCGGGGAAGAAAUCAGUGUUCUAACCAGGAACACUACUGCAGGAGUCCACAGCGAGUCCAUCAUCUGUCAUUCCAUGUAGAUCAGGGUUCUGGAUUUCCUCCCUGGAGUUCUCAGAAGCAGCUCUCAGGAUGAACAUACUGUCCUCUUCCCCUCUUCUUGCAAAGAGCACCGCUCAUCUAGUGUUGUCUCUCAGCUGUACCUGACUCUCAUUGUCUCCCCAGUAAGGUGUUGGAAGACUCAGUAUCUGGGUUCCACUCGCAGUCUGGCAGCUCUGUCUGUGAAGUCCUGCAUUGGCCAGGCCCCCUUGUUGCCUGUAGUAUGAUGUAAUCAGAAAACGGAUGUACGGAUGUGCACACGGGUGUCUAUUUGCUUAUGAAAUUAAAGUCACCUCUCGCCUCUGCUUUCCUGAUCAUUCGUUAGAAAAAAAUGGAUCCGGCAUUUUUUUUUAAGUAUUAUUCUUUCUCUAAACUGUUUGCACUGUGUUCAAAAACCCAUUUUAGAAGUUUGAACAGCAAGCUCUUCCUGAUUUUAAAAACAUAAAGAUGCUUUCAACAAAAUAUUUUGUGAUUUUUUUUAAGUCCCUAAAUGUGUACUUGGUCUCCUGUUAUUCUUUAUUCUUUAAGAAGCAUUGGCUUCCAUAGACCAUAUGAAGGCCACCAAUUACAUGGUGGUGUUAAUGCAACACGUAAAAAAAUUUGACAGGGCACAGUGGCUCACGCCUGUAAUCCCAACACUUUGGGAGGCUGAGGCUGGAGGAUCAUUUGAGCCCAGGAGAUUGAUGCCGCAGUGAACUAUGAUUGUGCCCCUGCACUCCAGCCUGGACGAGAGUGAGACCCCCAUCUCUUAAAAAAUAAAAAUAGAGAUUUGAACCUGUUU